RNAcentral lists this long non-coding RNA (221 nucleotides) under Phasianus colchicus (ring-necked pheasant). RNAcentral's name for it is "lncRNA (ENSPCLG00000008286.1)". Lineage: Eukaryota; Metazoa; Chordata; Aves; Galliformes; Phasianidae. The record is from RNAcentral.
CUCAAAUGAAAAUUGUACAGCAAAAGACGACGGGAGGAAGAUCUUUUUCUGCAAAGCAGAGGGCCUAUGCAGGAGCACUGGAAGGGCAUGAAAGGGAAGCAGUUUUUCCACCUAAUGGAAAUUUUCUUUGGCGUGGAGACCACAGAGUGAAAUCAGCCUCGUGUGCAGUGAUUGUUUCUUCAGCCCUUCCUUCGUGGCAACCUGGACCUGGCACAACCUCA